CAAGGACUUUUUGCAUACCAAUUAUCCUCAGCACUGAGUGCCUGAUGCGUGGCUCCCAAAUUCAUCCAAAUUACCUGGUCCCAGGGAGCUGCUGCCCGCAAGUUAAAUUGAUGUCAGCAUGUCUAAAAACCAGAUUCAUGAUUUAAGAGCUUAAACAACAAUUCUACGCUUCCAAGCUUGAAGAGUGUGCCUUGAAUGCUCCUCUCUGAUUUUUUACUAGGUGCAGAUGUAACCCUUCCAACACAGUGGGUUACACAAGUGCCUAAUUGCAGAGCAAGGAGGAAGCACCAAGGAAUGCAUCUCCGCGUCCAAGCACUGGGCUCUGGUUUGUCCACCUCUCCCUGGGCUGAGACGAUGCAGAAACAAGCAAAGAGAAGGGACUUGAUCCCAACAAGAGGGAGAAGGGCUGUGGGAUGAAGAGCUGCAAGAACGUGCUGGCUUGCAGUGUCCUGUGGCUGCGGCUGUCGUGAUCUGGAGCUGGAGGAACCAAAUUAACCCAGAUCCCCCACAUGCCCCUGUGUAGCUGGGUCCCAGACACCCACUCAAGCCCACCCCAAGCCAACCGUGGCUAUUUGGGAACCUCAGUGCACGGACACGGCAGCUCCCACCAAGCCCAUCUGCCCGAGGUCUGGGAAUAUCUGCAGUCCACAUCCCAGUUCUGAGCCUGUAUUUCCUAAGCCUUCCUCACUCCUCCUCUUCCUCGGUCUCGCGGAGCUGCGAGGUGUGUCCCCUGGGAGAGCUGAAGGAUUCACUGCAGAGCACCGCUCGCAUUUUUGAUUAUGCAGCUCAGAGCCCUCGAAAGAGCCCUGCAGCCACUUAGCUCGCGAUGACGACUGAUACCAAACACCGUUUCCUCUUCUUGCAAGCAAGUAAAAAUAAACAACAUCCUACUGUACCUGCCUCUAUCCA
RNAcentral lists this long non-coding RNA (909 nucleotides) under Anser brachyrhynchus (Pink-footed goose). RNAcentral's name for it is "lncRNA (ENSABRG00000013599.1)". Lineage: Eukaryota; Metazoa; Chordata; Aves; Anseriformes; Anatidae. The record is from RNAcentral.